Molecule: long non-coding RNA, 878 nt
Filed under: Homo sapiens (human)
Lineage: Eukaryota; Metazoa; Chordata; Mammalia; Primates; Hominidae
Description: non-protein coding lnc-BMP6-106:126
Source: RNAcentral
AAAACAAAUAAAUUUUCUGUCCAAUUCCUGGAAUAAAACAUGAGAAAUGACAGUUCACAGUAUCCGUUAAAACAAAUAAAUUUACAGGAAUACUUAAAAUUCAUACAAUGUGAGAUUUUUUCCAGAAACAAGUCAUACCCACUCAUUCCUAAGUUAACCAACAGGACACAGCCCUGGUGAUGGCUUUCUGAGGAUGACACGAUGGAGGCUUCUCCAAUAGCUCUAAAACUGCGGUGUGGAAAACAUUCGGCAGCCUCAAAGAGCGGUCUUGUUGACCCCAACUAUAUCAUUUUUCAUCAAAAUCAUUCUUGGUAAGUCUUAUGCCCAAGGAGUUAUUUUCCUUAGCAACAUCAUGGUAUGGAGGGAUUUGCUAUAGGAUAGGUCCUGAAUAUUCUUGCUUUUUUUCUGACUUAACUUUGAAAAGAAGUCCUAGACUAAAUUCAACCCUGCUCUUUCAAAUAGCUUCCUCAAAAAUAUAAAAAAAAUCUUUUAAGUCUGCUUUUCUCUGCACAUGGCCCUCUACACAACAUCCAUAGAUACAGUAGAGACAUAGAUGAAAGAUGGGUGUAACCGAGAACAGGUUUGUAUACCAAUUUCCAUAAUUAUCAAUGUAUCAGAUUUUAUAGAUUGAUAAGGAAGCGUGGGCCCCAAGGUAGGCAUUAUCUUUGGCCUGUUGAUUGAUCAGUGAGGUGAAGUGGAUAUAAGAAAAAUGCUGUGUGUGUGGAGAGCAUUAAGAAAGGUCAUAUAUUUCAAAAAAGAAUAUUGUUUACAAGGAGUGUUAAUAGGUUUCAGGGGAAAUGUUAAUUUUUUUUCCUGGAUGAAAUAGCUACUGCAAGUUUUUAAUGGUUAAUCAUUCAUUCUUGAAUUUUUAUAUUAAG